AACGAACGCUGGCGGCAGGCCUAACACAUGCAAGUCGAGCGCCCCGCAAGGGGAGCGGCGGCCGGGUGAGUAACGCGUGGGAAUAUGCCCUUUGCUACGGAAUAGUCUCGGGAAACUGGGGGUAAUACCGUAUACGCCCUUUGGGGGAAAGAUUUAUCGGCGAAGGAUUAGCCCGCGUUGGAUUAGGUAGUUGGUGGGGUAAUGGCCUACCAAGCCGACGAUCCAUAGCUGGUUUGAGAGGAUGAUCAGCCACACUGGGACUGAGACACGGCCCAGACUCCUACGGGAGGCAGCAGUGGGGAAUCUUAGACAAUGGGGGCAACCCUGAUCUAGCCAUGCCGCGUGAGUGAUGGAGGCCUUAGGGUUGUAAAGCUCUUUCAGCUGGGAAGAUAAUGACGGUACCAGCAGAAGAAGCCCCGGCUAACUCCGUG
RNAcentral lists this ribosomal RNA (431 nucleotides) under uncultured bacterium. Its description in RNAcentral is "partial 16S ribosomal RNA". It matches the Rfam family "Bacterial small subunit ribosomal RNA", at positions 29 to 507 of the family's 1533-position model. The record is from RNAcentral.